This 462-nucleotide ribosomal RNA is filed under the name uncultured bacterium. RNAcentral's name for it is "partial 16S ribosomal RNA". It matches the Rfam family "Bacterial small subunit ribosomal RNA", at positions 28 to 507 of the family's 1533-position model. The record is from RNAcentral.
GACGAACGCUGGCGGCGUGCUUAACACAUGCAAGUCGAACGGAAAGGCCCUUCGGGGUACUCGAGUGGCGAACGGGUGAGUAACACGUGGGUGAUCUGCCCCGCACUUUGGGAUAAGCCUGGGAAACUGGGUCUAAUACCGAAUAGGACCACGCGCUUCAUGGUGUGUGGUGGAAAGCUUUUGCGGUGUGGGAUGGGCCCGCGGCCUAUCAGCUUGUUGGUGGGGUAAUGGCCUACCAAGGCGACGACGGGUAGCCGGCCUGAGAGGGUGACCGGCCACACUGGGACUGAGAUACGGCCCAGACUCCUACGGGAGGCAGCAGUGGGGAAUAUUGCACAAUGGGCGCAAGCCUGAUGCAGCGACGCCGCGUGAGGGAUGACGGCCUUCGGGUUGUAAACCUCUUUCACCAGGGACGAAGCGUAAGUGACGGUACCUGGAGAAGAAGCACCGGCCAACUACGUG